UAACGCGAAGAACCUUACCAAGGCUUGACACACACGAGAACGGGCCAGAAAUGGUCAACUCUUUGGACACUCGUGAACAGGUGGUGCAUGGUUGUCGUCAGCUCGUGUCGUGAGAUGUUGGGUUAAGUCCCGCAACGAGCGCAACCCUCGUUCUAUGUUGCCAGCGCGUAAUGGCGGGAACUCAUAGGAGACUGCCGGGGUCAACUCGGAGGAAGGUGGGGAUGACGUCAAAUCAUCAUGCCCCUUAUGUCUUGGGCUUCACGCAUGCUACAAUGGCCGGUACAAAGGGCUGCAAUACCGUAAGGUGGAGCGAAUCCCAAAAAGCCGGUCUCAGUUCGGAUUGAGGUCUGCAACUCGACCUCAUGAAGUCGGAGUCGCUAGUAAUCGCAGAUCAGCA
This 397-nucleotide ribosomal RNA is filed under the name uncultured bacterium. RNAcentral describes it as "bacterial SSU rRNA". It matches the Rfam family "Bacterial small subunit ribosomal RNA", at positions 957 to 1354 of the family's 1533-position model. The record is from RNAcentral.